CCGAAUGGCCGGGGGGGAGCGGCGGGAUGACGGGUGGGGAAGUCGUUGUUCGGAAUUAAUGGGUGGAAAGGGGGGUGAGGCGGUACGGUAUGUUGGACGGGAAAGCCCCGGGCUGAACUCUGGGCGGUCGUUCAAAACGGCCGUGCUAGAGUGUGGGAGAGGGAAGUGGAAUUCCCGGUGUAGCGGGGAAAUGCGUAGAUAUCGGGAAGAACACCUGUGGCGAAGGCGGCUUCCUGGCCCGCAACUGACGCUGAGGCGCGAAAGCUAGGGGAGCAAACAGGAUUAGAUACCCCAGUAGUC
This 300-nucleotide ribosomal RNA is filed under the name uncultured Thermosphaera sp. Its description in RNAcentral is "bacterial SSU rRNA". The stretch from base 52 to 300 matches the Rfam family "Bacterial small subunit ribosomal RNA", at positions 547 to 795 of the family's 1533-position model. Lineage: Archaea; Thermoproteati; Thermoproteota; Thermoprotei; Desulfurococcales; Desulfurococcaceae. The record is from RNAcentral.